UUAUACAUAAAACAUGUUUUGUUCUUUAUACUUGUAAAUUUCAUGUCUAUGAUCUCAAGGAUCAUGUCAAAUGUGCCAAAUGACCUACCAGAUUUUACAUGCUAUUAUUGCAAUUUCUUUCAUGAGCUAUAUCCUAAAGCAUAAGGGCCCAAAACUCUUUAUCUCAACUCUUCUUCUUCAACCUCAGUUCAGAUCUACCUCUUGGCAAUCCCAAGUCACGAGCAAAAAGCCACAUUCAAAC
Molecule: long non-coding RNA, 241 nt
Filed under: Musa acuminata (dwarf banana)
Lineage: Eukaryota; Viridiplantae; Streptophyta; Magnoliopsida; Zingiberales; Musaceae
Description: long non-coding RNA (MACU_LNC002341)
Source: RNAcentral